RNAcentral lists this long non-coding RNA (493 nucleotides) under Felis catus (domestic cat). Its description in RNAcentral is "lncRNA (ENSFCAG00000043348.2)". The record is from RNAcentral. Lineage: Eukaryota; Metazoa; Chordata; Mammalia; Carnivora; Felidae.
UGAGAAUAAAGAAACAGGUGAGGAAGGCUGCUGGGGAGGUGGGUGGGGCUCACAGGUGCCGUCCGGGUUCAGGGGAGGCUCCUGGAGGUGGGUGGGGCCAGCAGGUGCCAUCCAGGCCCUGGGGAAGCUCUCCAGUCAGCCCCUAGGGAGGACGAGAGGGCACUGCUGUGGGUCAGUGUGAGGGCCCUGGGGGCUGUACUGCCAGGAUGGAUCGGGCACGGAUCCUUCUGGGAGCUGGUUCGGCUGUUGGAAGGUGUGCCUCCUGGGGCUCGACGCCGCAGACAUCACAGGCCAUAUUGAAGACUGAGCCCAGAGAAGAAGGGGCAGAAUUGGAAUUUCGUUUUAUAAAGCUGCUUCCGGCUCCGUGUGAACACAUGGAAGAAGGGGCCAGACGUAUGCCGGCGAGAGGCUGUGUGACCGUUCCGCGCAUCUUGGAGUUCGAGCCGUGCUGAUGGGGCCGGAUCUAGUUCACUCGUAACCACCGUUGGGCCUC